This 506-nucleotide ribosomal RNA is filed under the name uncultured bacterium. RNAcentral describes it as "partial 16S ribosomal RNA". It matches the Rfam family "Bacterial small subunit ribosomal RNA", at positions 30 to 523 of the family's 1533-position model. The record is from RNAcentral.
AUUGAACGCUGGCGGCAGGCCUAACACAUGCAAGUCGGACGGUAGCACAGAGGAGCUUGCUCCUCGGGUGACGAGUGGCGGACGGGUGAGUAAUGUCUGGGGAUCUGCCCGAUAGAGGGGGAUAACCACUGGAAACGGUGGCUAAUACCGCAUAACGUCGCAAGACCAAAGAGGGGGACCUUCGGGCCUUUCACUAUCGGAUGAACCCAGAUGGGAUUAGCUAGUAGGCGGGGUAAUGGCCCACCUAGGCGACGAUCCCUAACUGGUCUGAGAGGAUGACCAGCCACACUGGAACUGAGCCACGGUCCAGACUCCUACGGGAGGCAGCAGUGGGGAAUAUUGCACAAUGGGCGCAAGCCUGAUGCAGCCAUGCCGCGUGUAUGAAGAAGGCCUUCGGGUUGUAAAGUACUUUCAGCGGGGAGGAAGGCGAUAAGGUUAAUAACCUUGUCGAUUGACGUUACCCGCAGAAGAAGCACCGGCUAACUCCGUGCCAGCAGCCGCAGUAA